AUUUCUCUUUUCUCACUCUCUCGGCACUCUCUCUCUCCUCCUCUCCUCCGAAAAACUUCCUCCUCUCUUCUCUCUUCGAUUUCAUCUACCUAGGGGGUGAUUCCGGACAAGGCCCGAGAAUUAAAGUUGCUAUACGGCGCAUGGGCUUUCUGAAUAUCCAAGAAAAAUCAUGAUCGGACCGCGUGGGCGCUUGGUUGACUUGGUCAAAGGUUCGGGUUUUGCUCAAAACCCAUGAGGUACGAUUCAAGGAAGUUGACAUGGAGUACAUGUUGUGCAUUUGUGACCAAACCUUUAAAAAGGUAUUCAAGAAGGAUUUCAUAGCACAAGAUCUGAAAGAGCAUUUUUUUUUUGGAAAGAUAGUAUUUGUAAAAUGUAAUAUUUGAAUUUUAUUUGAGAACAGUGAACAAAAAGAUCUUUUGGGGUAUUAUUUGUAUUACAGAGAGGACUUUAUUUAUUAAAGUGUUUAUUAUUUAUGUUGAAAA
Long non-coding RNA from Rhododendron vialii, 482 nucleotides. RefSeq lists it as uncharacterized. The transcript is spliced from 2 exons. The record is from RefSeq and is a predicted model, not a curated record. Lineage: Eukaryota; Viridiplantae; Streptophyta; Magnoliopsida; Ericales; Ericaceae.